UUAGUCUGAUCAGAAGCGUGGG
This 22-nucleotide microRNA is filed under the name Haemonchus contortus (barber pole worm). Its description in RNAcentral is "hco-miR-5934". The record is from miRBase by way of RNAcentral. Lineage: Eukaryota; Metazoa; Nematoda; Chromadorea; Rhabditida; Trichostrongylidae.